Molecule: ribosomal RNA, 635 nt
Filed under: uncultured soil bacterium
Lineage: Bacteria
Description: bacterial SSU rRNA
Rfam family: Bacterial small subunit ribosomal RNA
Source: RNAcentral
GCUGGCGGCGUGCUUAACACAUGCAAGUCGAACGGAAAGUGCUCAGCUUGCUGGGUGACUCGAGUGGCGAACGGGUGAGUAACACGUGGGUGAUCUGCCCUGCACUUUGGGAUAAGCCUGGGAAACUGGGUCUAAUACCGAAUACACCCUGCUGGUCGCAUGGCCUGGUGGGGGAAAGCUUUUGCGGUGUGGGAUGGGCCCGCGGCCUAUCAGCUUGUUGGUGGGGUGAUGGCCUACCAAGGCGACGACGGGUAGCCGGCCUGAGAGGGUGUCCGGCCACACUGGGACUGAGAUACGGCCCAGACUCCUACGGGAGGCAGCAGUGGGGAAUAUUGCACAAUGGGCGCAAGCCUGAUGCAGCGACGCCGCGUGAGGGAUGACGGCCUGCGGGUUGUAAACCUCUUUCAAUAGGGACGAAGCGUAAGUGACGGUACCUAUAGAAGAAGCACCGGCCAACUACGUGCCAGCAGCCCGCGGUAAUACGUAGGGUGCGAGCGUUGUCCGGAAUUACUGGGCGUAAAGAGCUCGUAGGUGGUUUGUCGCGUUGUUCGUGAAAACUCACAACUCAAUUGUGGGCGUGCGGGCGAUACGGGCAGACUGGAGUACUGCAGGGGAGACUGGGAAUUCCUGGUGUA